CCUACGGGGGGCAGCAGUGGGGAAUAUUGCACAAUGGGCGCAAGUCUGAUGCAGCCAUGCCGCGUGUGUGAAGAAGGCCUUCGGGUUGUAAAGCACUUUCAGCGGGGAGGAAGGCGGUGAGGUUAAUAACCUCAUCGAUUGACGUUACCCGCAGAAGAAGCACCGGCUAACUCCGUGCCAGCAGCCGCGGUAAUACGGAGGGUGCAAGCGUUAAUCGGAAUUACUGGGCGUAAAGCGCACGCAGGCGGUCUGUCAAGUCGGAUGUGAAAUCCCCGGGCUCAACCUGGGAACUGCAUUCGAAACUGGCAGGCUAGAGUCUUGUAGAGGGGGGUAGAAUUCCAGGUGUAGCGGUGAAAUGCGUAGAGAUCUGGAGGAAUACCGGUGGCGAAGGCGGCCCCCUGGACAAAGACUGACGCUCAGGUGCGAAAGCGUGGGGAGCAAACAGGAUUAGAUACCCCGGUAGUC
RNAcentral lists this ribosomal RNA (465 nucleotides) under uncultured Klebsiella sp. RNAcentral's name for it is "bacterial SSU rRNA". It matches the Rfam family "Bacterial small subunit ribosomal RNA", at positions 338 to 795 of the family's 1533-position model. The record is from RNAcentral. Lineage: Bacteria; Pseudomonadati; Pseudomonadota; Gammaproteobacteria; Enterobacterales; Enterobacteriaceae.